Molecule: long non-coding RNA, 855 nt
Filed under: Cricetulus griseus (Chinese hamster)
Lineage: Eukaryota; Metazoa; Chordata; Mammalia; Rodentia; Cricetidae
Description: lncRNA (ENSCGRG00015034316.1)
Source: RNAcentral
CUCCGUUGCUGUAGUGCUGUGACUCACAGCACUGAUUAAGCAAAUGAUAAACGAGAAUGAUUUUUUUUUUUUUUUGCGAGAACGAUUUUAAGAACAGACUAGUACCUCAAGAGUGGAUUCAGAUCCAAAAUGGCUACGAAGUCACUUCUAGAACAUGACAAGAACCCCAGGCGCCUGCCUUAUAUAACAAAGGACAAGACCACCUUGGAGGCCCUUCAGUUGCUGGCCACACUUUCUGUACCAUCUUUGAAGAGGAUGUGGGCGGAACAUUUGAACUUGACAUUCAAAGGAACUUCAAGGUGCACUCCGGAAACCUUUGAAAUUCAGGACUGGAGAACUGAAGAGUGAUGGAGAGGCAGACAGGAAGGAUGCUGAGGGUCCCUGAGACACAGUGCUGGGUCAUCUCCAACCUGUUAGCCUUUAAACCUGCCAACAUCUUCCUUUGCUUUCUGAGGGACAGUGUCGGAGGCUUUCUGGAGUGGCCAGGCUUAGCCCAUGAAAAGGCUUAUCUCAUGUGCUUCAAAGAAAUGAAAACUCCGUUGUUGGGCUGACUUUGAAGUCUUGCUACACGGGUUUUGGAAUGGUGAAGGCUGACCUCAAUGGAGGCUGACUUCAGAUCAGGGUAAUCCUCUUGCCUCAGGUUCCUGGGUCCAGGCGUUACAGAUUACAGAGAAGUGAGAAUUCCCACUGAUCCAGCGAGGAGAGUACAUCAGCUUCAGUCACUGCCACUGUCCUGUGAGGGAGGUCCUGGAACAGCUCCAUCACCGUUGGUUCAAGUUGGCAGAGAGGAGCAGGUCCAGGCUGGCAGGUUUGACAGAUGAGGAUGUGGACACCCAGACUGGCAUGGCAUUCCUC